This is a non-coding RNA of Oryza glaberrima (African rice), 206 nucleotides long. NCBI's taxonomy places the organism in Eukaryota, Viridiplantae, Streptophyta, Magnoliopsida, Poales, Poaceae. The record is from Rfam.
GUCAAAAAAAAAAAAACGUCUCCGUGUCCAAUGUUUGACCGUCUGUCUUAUUUAAAAAAAUUAUGAAAAAAAUUUAAAAGAUAAGUCACGUAUAAAUUAUUAAUCAUGUUUUAUCAUCUAACAACAAUAAAAAUACUAAAUAUAAAAAAGUUUCAUAUAAGACGGAUGGUCAAACAUUGGCACGGAAAUUCAGGGUUUGUCUUUUU